This is a non-coding RNA of Oryctolagus cuniculus (rabbit), 409 nucleotides long. The record is from RefSeq and is a predicted model, not a curated record. Lineage: Eukaryota; Metazoa; Chordata; Mammalia; Lagomorpha; Leporidae.
GUAACCAAGUCUAGAGCCCAGGACUUCUCUACUCGCAAGCCUCCCGUGACACGCCGUCCCAGGUCUCCCGUGGUGGGUCUGCUCACUCUGCAGGCUGCUUUUUCUCGAUGACAGUGGGAAGAGCCGGAGAGAAGAGCUAAGGGGAACUGAGGACAGCCUGCUCCAACUCGAGAGGCCAAGUGUCCACCCCUCACGGGCCUCCGACUCCAUCUCCGGUGCACAGCUGGUCUCUCCAUUGGCAGCCACGCUCAGAGCAGUCACCCACUGGGUUGGCCUUCAUCCUUGUUGGGCCUGAGUGCCAAACCUAGGCAGUCUGGCACUGAGGCCUCCUGUCUCUCGACAUCCAUCCAGAGGAGAGGCAGAUAUUUUGUGAACAAGUCCUGCCAUAGCCCUCCAAUGAAAACACCUC